Molecule: ribosomal RNA, 703 nt
Filed under: uncultured bacterium
Lineage: Bacteria
Description: bacterial SSU rRNA
Rfam family: Bacterial small subunit ribosomal RNA
Source: RNAcentral
AGAGUUUGAUCAUGGCUCAGAUUGAACGCUGGCGGAAUGCUUUACACAUGCAAGUCGAACGAUGAACCUUAGCUUGCUAAGGGGAUUAGUGGCGAACGGGUGAGUAAUAUAUCGGAACGUGCCUUGUAAUGGGGGAUAACUAGUCGAAAGAUUAGCUAAUACCGCAUACGCCCUGAGGGGGAAAGUAGGGGAUCUUCGGACCUUACGUUAUAAGAGCGGCCGAUAUCUGAUUAGCUAGUUGGUGGGGUAAUGGCCUACCAAGGCUUCGAUCAGUAGCUGGUCUGAGAGGACGACCAGCCACACUGGAACUGAGACACGGUCCAGACUCCUACGGGAGGCAGCAGUGGGGAAUUUUGGACAAUGGGCGCAAGCCUGAUCCAGCCAUUCCGCGUGAGUGAAGAAGGCCUUCGGGUUGUAAAGCUCUUUCGCAAGGGAAGAAAACUUACCUUCUAAUAAAGGGUGAGGCUGACGGUACCUUGAUAAGAAGCACCGGCUAACUACGUGCCAGCAGCCGCGGUAAUACGUAGGGUGCGAGCGUUAAUCGGAAUUACUGGGCGUAAAGCGUGCGCAGGCGGUUUGGCAAGUCAGAUGUGAAAUCCCCGAGCUCAACUUGGGAACUGCGUUUGAAACUGCCAGACUAGAAUAUGUCAGAGGGGGGUAGAAUUCCACGUGUAGCAGUGAAAUGCGUAGAGAUGUGGAGGAA